RNAcentral lists this long non-coding RNA (19046 nucleotides) under Gossypium barbadense (sea-island cotton). RNAcentral's name for it is "long non-coding RNA (GBAR_LNC017458)". The record is from RNAcentral. Lineage: Eukaryota; Viridiplantae; Streptophyta; Magnoliopsida; Malvales; Malvaceae.
UUAAUAGUAUCAAGAAAGGAUUCAGUGUUGAGAUCACCAGCUUGAGUAAUGAGUGCAUUUAUAAAGAUAACAUUACCGAAGUAGCCUGGUGGGAGAGGAGGAUUCAAUUUAGAUCGAGCGUCAACUGGAAAGUACAUCUUGGUAGGUUGGUCGUCUGAGAGACCCAUUGCUUUACUUACGCAGCGCCAUAUAUGUGCAGCCAAGAUGUUGUAACUACUAUACUUUGUACCACUACUGUUUGCAGCAGCUUUGGCUUUCAGGGCAUUCAAUUGAUCAACUGUAAGCUUAAAAGUGGAGACAGUGGAUGGCUUAAGAUCAGAUUCAACAGCCUUCAAUGGAGGAGAAGGCUCAUAUUCAAUAUGGUGGAAUUUAGGCAUUGGUCGGACUCGAGCACGAAGAAGAGUUCGAUCGAUGAAUGGUGCAAUGGCAGGCGAGACGCCUCGGGCGGUGUCAGCCCAACUAUUGAUGAAAUGAAUAGCCGAUGUGCCAUCUCCUAAAGUAUGUUGAAACCCAACUCCCAAACAAACACCACCGCAUUUGAACUUAGUUACCUGCUAAAUUAUACAUAAUAAAUAUCAACCAUUAUUAUUAUUUGACUUAAUAUAACAUUGGGUACCUAAACCUAACAUUUUUUCCAAUUUGAUACCUAAAAUUUGUUUGGCCCAAUUUGGUACUUGAACUCGGCAUAUUUUUUUUCCAAUUUGAUACCUAAGCUUUUGCUUAGAUUCAAUUUGAUACCUAAAUUUAUUAAAUGCUAUGCAAAUUACGCAAAACACUAAAGGUGUUUUUUUUAUGCUACCAAAAUAUUGUCAAUAUUUGAGGAAAAUCAUUAUUUUCAAUUAAUAAAAUAAAUAAAUAAAUAAACUAAAAGUAAUUAAACAUAUAAAAUAAUAUAUAUAUCAUAUCAUCUGUCACAUGUCCGUCUGAUUAUUUUUUCUACCUCGUAAAAAAUAACAUUGUUGGUAUAUUUGAGUAUAGUUUGUAAAACGCUUGACAAGUUCAAGUACCAAAUCGAACAAAAAAAAAGAUAGGUACUAAAUUAGCAAAUAGAGUUAAGUUCAGGUGCUAAAUUGAACACCAAAAAAGAUUAAGUAUCAACUUAAGAAAAAGUGUCAAGUUUAGGUACUAAAUUAGGAAAAAUUGUAAAGUUUAGGUACCAAAUUAGACCAAAAAAAUUAGGUACCAAAUUAGAAAGAAAGUGUUAAAUUCAAGUACUAAAUGUUAUAAAUCCGUAUUUUAUAAACUAAUAUGUUGUUUUUUCUUUUUUGAGAUAUUCUAUAUUGUGUUAUUUUUAUAUAUUAUGUAAUUUAUAAUACAUUCAAAAAAUAAACUUAUACUAAAUAUAUAAUAUUACUCUAAUGUAAACAUUAAAAAAAAUUGUUAAGAUCACUAUAUAAAAAUUUUCAAUAAACAAAAAAUGUAUAAAAUUAUUAAAUAUUAAAAUAAUAUAAUAUAAAUAUUUUUUAAAAAUUAAAAAAUAAUAUGGACGAACAUAAAAUGUGCUUUGGGUUAAUCUUUUACAAAUAUAGACGAAUUUUGACAAAAUUUUAAACCCAGAUUUCAGGCUGAGCCAAGAUUAAGUAAACAUAAAGCAUGUUAAUAUCCUGCUUAAGCCUAACUUGGCCCGACCCAUUAAUACUCUUGUGCAAAUUAGACCUCAAAAUAGAUUAACUACCAACUUGAAAAAUGUGUUUAAGUACCAAAAAUAGAAAAAUUGUGUCAAAUUCAGGUAGGAAAUAUUAGAUUGAGUUUGGAUGAGCGGUGCGUUUACCCGCGGUUAGUGUAAAAACAGCGGUGGCGGUGAGAUUAGAUACUGUAGUGAUACUGUAGCAUAAGACAAAAAGUAAGCUAAACGUACCGUACCACACAUAAUCGCUGAUCCAAACCCACCCUUAGUGUAUAAUAAUUGGGUUUACCUGCACUACAAGGAGUGGAUAAGAGGAUAUUCCUCCAGAAUAGUCAACUUUAGGAACUAGGUGAGAGUUGUGAGUAAAAUCACCAUUACCAACCAAAUCUUCCAACACUGAACUAGUUUCAGCUUCAACGAAUGGAACUCCUUCAUCGUUGCAUAUUAUCUCAAGUCUUCCAUUUUCAUCAUACCCCAACCUUCCUGCAAUAGGGUAAAAUGGGACAAGAACCUUGCUCAAACCCUCUUUAACCCUUCCAGUAUCGAAGAAAUCAGAACAACCAUUUGGCUUAUAAAAGUAUACAGUAGAGACGUGGUAUCUUGAAAUCAGUAGAUCUAAAUUGGAGUUCCAUAUACUUCCUUUGGGAGUGUGUUCUUCAGCUGGACGAACCAUGGUAGACUCCUUUAUACUGAUCUCCAUCUCUAUAUAAAUGUCAAAAAAAUGAGUAGUUCUCACUUCUCGCUCACAUCUUCAAAUGAAUAGGAUGAGAAAAUAUGCAUAAACUUCUACUUCUACUCAAUGCUUGAAAGAUAAAAGAGAGAGACUAGAAUAUUGAUUACCUUAAAUAGUGUAAACCAGUGCCGGAAGAACAACGUUUGUAUGAAGGGGACGAAGGGAGACCUGAUCAAUUUAUAGACCCACAAACUGCAAUUUCUAGCCAUCUAUACUACUGCCAACUAGAGGUGUACAUGGGCCCGGCCCAUCCCGAUGACCCGUCUAAAAUAUGGAAUGGUUCGGAUAAAAAUAUAGGCCCGAAAUAUGGGUUUGGGCAAAAAAAAGAGGCCCGUUUAGAAAACGGGUCGGGCCUCGGGCACAACUUUUUUGGCCCGGGCCCGGCCCAAAUUUAAUAAAUAUAUUUUUAUUUUAUUUUUUUAUUUUAAUAUACUUUUUUUAUUUUUUAUUUUUAAAAUAAUUUUUUGGUGUUUAUUAAAAAAUGGGUCGGGCUUGGGCUUAGGAUUUUAUUCUCGGGCCAGUCCUGUACAAAAUUUUAGGCCCAUAUUUCGGGUCGGGUCGGGCCCAGGCCUAGGAGUCAGGCCAAAUUUUUUUGGGCCCAGCCCGGCCCGGCCCAUGGACACCUCUACUACCGACAUUUCUCUAUUCUAGAUUAAUGGUUUUAAAUUCCGAUGUAUAUAUAAUUUAAUUGUGAAUGUAUUUAAAUAGGUGGAUUAACACGAUUCAGCACGUUCGAACUCACGUCAUCCUGCACUGACAACAAUGCCAAUGCAAACCGAGCCAAGACUCAAUCGGCUCAUUUAUUAAAGUUUUAUAUAUGAACUACUUAACAUUUUUCAUGUUUAUAUUAUAGUAAUAUAUAUUACUAUAAGUUUAAAUUUUUUUAUGUUAUAAAUUACAUAAUAUGUAAAAAUAACAUAACAUACUAUAAUAUAUUACAAAUUUUAAAACAAGUGGGGUCAAGCUCGAGCCUUAAAUUUUUAAGCUCGAACCUGACCCAUAUUUUAAAUGGGCAUAAUAUAUUUGCUUAAACUAUCUUAAAUUUCAAGCGAGUCUUUAGACACUUUUGAACAUGGACUGAUAACUCGACCCUUGAAUAGAUCUUUUAUUUCUUUUUUAACAUAAAACCAACCAGGGUCACCUCAAUUUUUUAAGUAACAUCACUAAUUACAGCAUUAUGGAUAUCCACUGGGAAAUCCAUAUCAAAGAAACAAGUUUUUACCUCAUUAUACUUUAUUACAUGACCGUUUGGUCCAAAUCAAAGUGGCACAUUUAAAAUGCGCGCACCAAUAAUGGUGAGAUCCGUACCAUUGUAGGUCGAAUGAUCAGUUUCAAAUAUCACAUCCCCUUUAUUUUUCAGCUGUCACGCCAGCUGGAUACUUUUUUUCAAACGCCAGGCACUCUACUUCCUGCACCGAAACCCUUGCAUCAGUAAAGUCCCCCCUACCUCCGAAAACAAAUCCAUGGUCGUCCCGUACAAUCGCUCCAUAGUCCAUACCCUCCGAUGGAAAGAACAGCGCCCGAGAUGUUGGACAGUCCUUCAUCGAAUGGAUCACGGUCUCAUCCUCUACCCCUCAUCUUGGACACUUCUGUUCAAAGUCGCGCCUAAUCGAAGCAAUUUUCACAUUUGUAGGGAAAAUCUCGUGUCCCUCACGCCAAUUAAACAUCCUAAGCUUGGGCAUAGUCUCAAGUGUACAUCUUUUCUUUCCUUUCAUUCUUUGCUUUUAUGGGUGUUUUUGUUUGAUUGUUUUCUUGUUCUUGUUUGAUGCUUAUUUGAUUCAAUUAUAUUGUUUCAUGUUUACAUUAUAUUAUAUUUUACCUAAAUCCUUAAGAAUUUCAGACAAAUCUUUCAAUCUAGAUGAGUAAUUCGACCUAUAAACACGUCUAUAAUAUUUUAAAUAAUAAAAUGAAGUAUGAUUUUAGUAGGAUAAUGUCGCAUGAUUUUACAUUAUAAAUUUAUUUCCGUAAUCAUAAUAAACAUAUAAUUUUUAUAUUAACUUUUUUUAAUAAUUGAAAAUAUAAAUAUUUUAGAAAUUUUAGAUAUUAUUAUUAUUAUUAUUAUUAUUAUUAUUAUUAUAAUAUUGUGUGUUUGUGUUAGAAGUGAUUAUGGUAACAUAAUUUUAGGUCUAUUUUUUUAGGUUUGGUUCGAAAAUUGGCCUAAAAUUUUACAUAAACUCAACUCGGAUAAAAAUAUUAAAAUUCAAGCUUGACUCGACUGGUCUGUAUUAAAAUUUUUAUAUAAAAAAUUUAAAAAAUAUUAUAUAUCAAAUAUACUAAAAAUAUUAAAAUAAAUGUUUGAAUAAUAUUAAGAUAGGUGCAACUUAAUAAGUAAAUGACUCUAAAAUAGUAGCAAAAUUAAUAAUAAAACAAGAGUUAUAUAAUAUCCAAACAUUAACAACAAAAUAGUAACAAUAUACUAACGAAAUGACAAUAAACAAUGACAAAACAACACCACAGCAGUGGGAACACUAGCAAGUUUUUUUUUUUGUUGCAAAUUUGGGUUGAGUUCGGGCAAAAAAAGAGUCUAUUUUUAAGCCUAUAUUUUUACUCAAACCCUCACAUUUUUUGGGUAAACCUUCAAGUCGAACCAUAAUCAGGUCUAGUUUGUAUACCAAGGGACCAUUGGCAACUCAUUGAAAUCUAAAGAAUGAAAAUUUUGAGGCCACCAAAUAUGAAGGGACCAUUCACGAACAACAAAUAGGACAUGGUUGUAAAUGAUUAUGUACCAUCAAAGACAGCUGCAUGUGAUAAACUUGAAAAGCUAAUGGUAAGGUUAUUUUAAUAUAAAUAAAGUUGUUAGACCAUUUAUGAGAAGACUUUUUCAUGGCGGAUGUUCUAUGCGAGGUGUUCUACUCGUAGUUUCGAGGGUAUUCACGUUUGGCAUAUACCUGCUUUGAUCGAAAUCUUUGGAGAUGAUUUUAUAUUACAAUUCGGUAGAAGAACUUUAGAACACUCUUGAGAAAAUGCAUCAGGUGUCAUAAUUAAUCGAGUAGCUUUAGAAGCAUGUGUACAAGCUUAUAAUGAGGAAUGUGACCUUACUCGCAAGAAUAAUAAAAUUAUCCACGAGGCCAACAAAUGGAGUCCUGAACUAACUGCUGCCAAGAACACAUUGUUUAUUUUAAAAUUUAAAUUCAUUCUAUACAAAUUAACCCAACAUGAAUUCAAUUUAUACAAUUAAAUAAUAAUGUGUGUAAUUGAAACUUAGAAAAACUAACCCUAGACUACAACUCCUCACUUUCUAAAGGUUAAAUCUUGACAAUACCACAACACUAAACCCUUAAUCCAUCUGACAAAUUGAAACGAAUCAACUUCUUCAUUCAUAGUGAUAAAUGAUUUUCCAUUUUACGGUUGUGAAUUAUGCAACCAAAACUUUAUUUUGUUUUAAAAUGUUCAUCACUAAGCUUGCACACGUAAUUAGCAUGGCCAGCAAUGGAAUCCGAGCCACGAAGGAUGAAAUUCUCUAAACCAAUUUGGACUGAGCAGAAAUUGCCCAUGAUUCUGGUGAAUGAAAGAUGAAAGGAAGGAAACUGAAUGAGAUGUGGAUGCAAAGUGACUUGUGUUAAAAAUAAAGUUAGGUAAAGUGGAAAAGUCAAAGAAAAUAAAGUUAAAAUGAAGUUAGAGAAGAUGGGGUUUCAACAGAUUGAGGUGGUAGGCAGCUGUGGCACAGUUAAACUCCCAUCAUUUGCUGCCCCGUACGAGGUAGGCGACCCCAUCCGAUGUCUACUUUUCUACAGAGGCAACCGCAUUUAAAUAUUUUCAAUGAAUUUUAAUUACGUCUGCUAAAACCUUAUAUGACUAAUCGCAUGUUAUUCAUUGUUAAAAAAAAUUACUUUUGGCUUUAAAAAUACUUUUAAAAGAAAAAUUAUGUAAAAUAAACGGUUGUUUGUUGAAAUUUUUAGUGUUUUAAAAGUAUUUUUCAAAAGCACUCCUGAAAAUGAGAAGCUAAAAAUUUUAACUUUUUCUCUCUCAAAAGUACUUUUGAUGCUUAAUUACUUUUUACCCCUCUAAUAACAUAGUAUUUUCCUUUUCUUUAUUGGUGCUUAAUUACAAAUGUGUUAAAAUGAUUAAUUAAAAAUAAAAAAAUUAAAAUACAAAUUACAAAUAUUUAAUGGUUAUAUUUAAAUAUUUAAAAUAUAUUUUAUAUAUUCUAAUUAAAUUUUAUAAAUAAUUAAUAUUUAUUGCUUAAAAAUAUUUAAAAUUUAUAUUUCAUAUAUUAAAAUAUUAAGCAAGUUAUAAUAAUUUUUUUAUAUUCUUACUAAAAAAUAAUAAUAACUAAUUUAAAUAUUAUUUAAAUGCAUAUUUGUUACUUGAUAAUAACAUGUCUAAAAUGGACAUUUUAUUUCUCAAAAGCACUUUUGGACAGCAAUGCUAAACACUCAAAUUUUAAACCGCACUUUUCUAAACUAGCCUUAAAGGUUUUCAACGACUUUAAAUAUUUUCGAUGAUUUUUAAUUAAUUUUUUUAAUGAUUAUGAUGGAUGUUAAUAGAUUAAUUUUUUCUUCUAAAAUCAAACAAAUAUAAAGGGUGUCCCACAUAGAGGUGCUCAUGGGUCGGGCGGCCCGGCCCGGCUUGACAGCCCACCCGAAAUAUGGGAGGGUUUGGGUAAAAAUAUAGGCCCGAAAUAUGUGCUUGGGCAAAAAAAUGAGGCCCGAUUAAAAAAUGGGCCGGGCCUCGGGCACCACUUUUUUGGCCCGGGCCCGGCCCGGCUCGAAUAAUAAAUAUUUUUAUUUUUUAUUUUUUAUUUUUAAAAUAAUUUUUUUAAUUUUAAACUAUUUUUAAAUUUUUUUAAAAUACUUUUUUAAUUUUUUUAAUUUUAAAAUAUUUUUAAAAUACUUUUUUAAUUUUUGUUUUAAUUUUUAAAAUAUUUUUUUGGUAUUUAUUUAAAAAACGGGCCGGGCCGGGCUGGGCCCGGACUUAUGAAUUUUUCUCGGGCCGGGCCUGGGUAAAAUUCUAAGCCCAUAUUUUGGGCCGGGCCGAAAUUUUUUCUAGGCCCGGCCCAUGACAACCUCUAGUCCCACACCCCAAUUAAACAUCCUAAUCUUGGGCAUAGUUUCAAGUAUACAUCUUUUGUUUCCUUUCAUUCUGUGUGUUUUAUGGGUGUUUUUGUUUGAUAUUGUUUUCUUGUCUUGUUUGAUGCUUAUUUGAUUCAAUUAUAUUGUUUGAUGUUUAAAUUAUAUUAUGUUUUACUUAAAUCCUUAAAAAUUUCAGCUAAAAUUUUUAAUCUGGAUAAGUAAUACGACCCAUGAACAUGUCUAUAAUAUUUUAAAUAACAAAAUGAAAAAUGCAAUUUACAUUAUGAAGGUAGAAAACAUGAUUUUAGUAGGUUAAUGUCGCAUGAUUUUUCAUUAUAAAUUUAUUUCCGUAAUCAUAAUAAACAUAUAAUUUUAUAUUAACUUUUUUUUAAUAAUUGAAAGAAAUAAAUAUUUUAGAAAUUAUUAUUAUUAUUAUUAUUAUAUUGUGUGUUUGUGUUAGAGGUGAUUAUGGCUUGAACAUAAUUUUAGGUCUACUUUUUAGAUUUGGUUCGAAAAAUGGGUCUAAAAUUUUACAUAAACUCGGUUAGGAUAAAAAUGCUAAAAUUCAAGCCCGAUCCGACUGGUCUAUAUUGAAAUUUUUAUAUUAUUAUUUUUAUAUAAAAAAAUUUAAAAAUAUUAUACAUCAAAUAUACUAAAAACAUUAAAAUAAAUGUUUAAAUAAUAUUAAGAUAUGUGCAACUUAGCAAGUAAAUGCCUCUAAAAUAAUAGCAAAAUUAACAAUAGAACAAGAGUUGUAUAAUGUCCAAACAUUAACAACAAAAUAGUAACAAUAUACUAGCGAAAUGUCAGUAAAACAGUGACAAAACAACACCAAAACAAUGGAAACACUAGCAAGUUUUUUUGUUGCAAAUUUGGGUUAAGUCCGGGCACAAAAGGAGCUCAUUUUUUGAGUCUAUAUUUUUGCCCAAACCUUGACAUUUUUUUUGUAGAUCAUCAACCCGGGCCAUGAUCAAGUCUAAUUUGUAUGGCAAUGCAACUUAAAGCCAACUUAGCAAAGUAUUUGGAAUUAUUGAAUGAAAAUUUCUCAAUAAGAGAAAUUUGAGGUUACCAAAUAUUAAGGGACCAUUAGCAACUCAUUGAAAUCUAAAGAACGAGAAAUUUGAGGCCACCAAAUAUGAAGGGACUAUUCAUAUACAACAAAGAGGAUAUGCUUGUAAAUGAUUAUGUAUCAUCAAUGGAAGCUGAACGUGAUAAACUUGAAAAGCUAAUGGUAAGGUUAUUUUAAUAUAAAUAAAGUUGUUGGACCAUUUAUGAGAAGGCUUGCUCAUGGCUAAUGUUCUAUGCCAGGUGUUCUACUCGUAGCUUCGAAGGUAUUCACGUUUGGCAUAUACCUGCUUUGACCGAGAUCUUUGGAGAUGAUUCUAUACUACAAUUCGGUGGAGGAAUUUUAGAACACUCUUGGGAAAAUGCAAUAUGACAAGACGCCAAGGUGUAUAUGAAGUCAUUAUCUUUAAGGUUCUAUUCGUCCCCACCUAUAUUCAGUGUGCAAAUAAGUUUCAAGCAAAUGAACCUCGAGGAUACAAUGAAUCUUGGUAACUAUUUGAGUUUUGCACUGACGAAAAUAGCCCACUAAGCAUUGAGCAGAGUAUAACAAGAAAAUCAAUUUCUAUAAAGAAUUUCUACAAUAAUCCUUUAUAGAACAAUCUAAGAAUAGUAGAAGAUGGAGGGAUGAUCAUAAGAACUUCUGAGAACUUUUUUGUAUGUUUUCAAAAUAAAUCUCAUCUCUAUUUAUAGGAAUUCUCAUGUCUCUUCACAGAAACAUAACUUUCAAUAUGCGUCUUUUUUCAAAUAAUCACAUCUUUAAAAGAGAUAUAAUUAUUCAAUUAAUAUCUCUUCAAUAAACAUAACUAUUCAAGUAAUAUUGCUUGAAUAAUUGUAAAUCUUUGUUAAAAAUCAAGUGAUGUAACUUUUGAUCAACAACCAAAAUAUAUAACUUUUGAUUAAUUGCAACCUUUCAUUUAUAGUUAUUGGAACACCAUAAAUAUUUGAAAAUAUUCCAACAGAUGUGUCAGCCACGUGUAUGCAAUGCUAGUAAAGUUUAAAAAUAUUAAUUUUUCUAUUCAUUUUAGGGUGAUUUGACAAAAAAAAACCGUAAGAAUUAGGGCUAAAAACGUUUAAAAAAUAAAUGGAGGGUUAAAAUGAUUUUUUUUUUAAGUUGGAGGGUGGAAGAAAGUAUUAUGCCUUAUAUUUACAAAUCUUAUUUCAAUUUUUGAUUAACACAACUAAGCUUGGGUCUAACUAAGGGUUGGAGGGGUUGUUAGUAUAUUUAAUUCUUUUUAGGCAUAAUGUAAAUUUUAGUUAUUAAUAUUUGCAUCUUUUGUCAAUUUGAAACUUAUUCUUUUCUUGAGCUAAAUUUGGCUUUCAACCUUUUAAAAAGAAUCAAAUUUAGCCAUUAAUAUUUUGAAAAAGAGUUUAAAUGAUCUUUUUAACAGAAAUACUAACUAAAAUGUUAAAAAAAAAGACAAAGGCAACCCAAGAAUGGACCUGCCCAUGGGCCUCAGGUUUUCCUUAAGAUAUCUCUGUGGAAGAGGUCCUCAAAUUUGGGCUAAAGGCAAGUUGAGCCCUAAGUUUAUUAGGUCUUAUAGAAUUUAAAGACAAGUGGGUCAAGUUGCCUAUUAGUUGGAGUUGCCUUUGGAGUUAGACUGCAUACACGAUGUGUUUCAUACCUCUAUGCUAGGAUGAUAUCAGUCUGAUCCAUCUCAUAUUGUUCUAGUUGAUGAGAUUCAGGUGAGGCCAGAUUUGACUUUUGAAGAGGAACCAGUGCAGAUUCUGGAUUGAGAAGUUCUUGAGAAGGAAGAACAUUCUUUUAGUUAAGGUUUAGUGGUGGAAUCAAGGUAUUAACCACACCACUUGGGAGCCAGAGGACUCGGUUCGACAACAAUAUCUGCAUCUGUUUGAGUUAGGUAAAUUUCGAGGACAAAAUUUUUUGAAGAAAGAGAGAGUUGUAACACCCAAAAUUUUUAUUUUUGAAUUGUUAAAUCGUGUCAAGUAAAUUGAUUUGAGUUUAAUGGAUAAGUGUUUUGUUUAUGUUCCUAAGGUCCUGCGCUCAAAUCUCUUCUCUUUAAAUUUUGUUGUUUUUAUUCCAACUAUUGACUUUGAACAUCUAACAUAUCUUUAAAUUUUGGGUAAUUGUUGGCAUGAAUGAGCUUGUUGGUUUAGUGGUAAAGCUUUAGCUUACCUAGAUUUCCUUUGUUUGAAUCUUGUGCAUUAUUUUCUGCUAUUCUCUUAUUCAUUCUUUCUUCUUCCUUUUUAUUCUUAUUUUUCUUCCUUCUUAUCUGCUGUUGAAAUGGGUUGUGCUAACGUCCAUUUCUGGAGUUCAUUGUUGGCCCGUAAGUUGUAAGUGGGAAUAGGAUUUGUAAUCAUAACUCCUUUCGGUGAUGUGUGUUAUCCGCUCACUUUUUGAGAAUGUUAUUUUUCGGUUUGUUGUAACAAUGGACGCCUAAUCAUUCCUAAUGUAUGAUUCUAUUUAGGUGAGAAUCAAGCAGCGCAUUUUCCGCUAUUGAGUUGAGUAUCGGCAGUCUUUUCUUCAAAGGGUAAGUUAUUGAAUGCCCAUAUUAGGGGUUGGUUUGUGAUAAUUUAGUUUACAAGGAUCGGAUGUCUUGUGAUGUUCCAUCGCAUAGUAUGUCAUGAUGUAUAUUCUGUACAAUUUCUGGCUCCUGUGUGAUUUUGCUAUCUAUUUUGUUUGUAUGAGCUGAGUUACACAUUGAGCUUUGUAAGCUCACCCAAUUUUUCUGACUUCUCAGGUAAUCCACAAACUUAGGAUUGGGCGGCGCGCGAAAGCUCGGAUUAAUUUCUUGGUUAAUAAAAUAAGACGAUUUAUGUUUUAAUUUAAUUUUGAAAUUUUGGAAUUGUAAAUCUGUUUUUGGACUUUACUUUACGGUUUGGUUUAUUUACGUCAGAUUUUGGUAUUUUUAUCAUUAAACUACAAAAGCACAUGAUUUAUCAAAUUAGAAUCUUGGUUUUCAAAACUAAAACUCCGAAAUCCCCGUUGCAAAGAUUAAGCAAUCAAUUAAGUGAUUUUUGUGAAAUAAAUAAUUUUAACGAGCAUUUUCUUAAAAACUUGUAAGAGACUUACCAAAAUUAAUAUUGUCGAAACACAUGUUUUUUUAAAUUUAAAAUUUGAGUUUAAAACAAGUUUAUGUAAUUUCUCAAGACUCAACCAUAGCAUUUAAGUUGAGUUUAUGUAAUUUUUUAAAUUCAAAGUAGAGGAACAAUAUACUUGAAAUUUAGGUUUAGAGAAUGUGAUGAAUGGUCAACUUCAAGAGUUUUAGAAUUCUCUCCAUUUUUGAAUGAUGAUCCCAGAGAAACAUCUCUCGAGAUUGGUGCUUGAUGCAUAGAUAACUUGAUAUCUUGAAAACUUUUUUCACAAUGAUUAUCAAAGGAGUCAUCAACAAAAUGAGUGGAUAUGCCUUCGAUAAAUCCAGCUUCUCCACACCUUCAACUGGAACGAGAAAUCAACAGCUUACUUGAAUAAGCUAAGGCAAACAAAUGAAAAGUUCAUCCACAAUGUAAAUCUACUGUGAGAUCAUGUCCCCCUCUCAUAAAAUAUUUUUCAUAUUCAUCAAACCACCUACAAAAUUUAGUAAAUGAGCUUUAAUUUUUGCCCAAAUUCAUUUUCCGGAUCUAUUAUUUUGCUCAAACUCUCUCACUUUUCGAACAAGCCUUCAAGCUUGGGUGAGUAAUCUGACCCAUGAUCAGGUCUACUAAACUCUUAGUCAAAACUUAAUAAUGUGCCACAUGGCACAAUUUAAUUGGUCAACAUGCGAUGUUAGCAAAAAAAAAUUAACAGUGUUAGGGCUAAAUAGGGCUAAAUACCACUUUUUAUAAAUGGAAUUAAAAUUCAGGUACCAAACUUGAUAUUUUAUAAGUAGAGGUACCACAUUGGAACAAACUCUAAAGUAUAGAGGCCAUUCAUUCCAUUAUCCCUUAAUUUUUUUUUCUGUUAACGGCUCCUGUAGUUUCAUUGAAGUAGAUUUUUGUGAAUAUUUUUAUAAUUUUUAAAUUAUUUGUUGAUGUAGUUUAUAAGAUAAAUAGUACUAUGUCAAAAUAAAGUAAACAUGAACUAUUACAUGGAUUGUCACACCAACCAGUGGCAAAACUAGGGGGAUAGCAGGGGCCUGGCCCCCUUAAAAUGAAUUUUUUUUCAUUUAGAUCUCUUUAUAAUUUAUAUAAUUUUAAAUUAAUAAUAGUAAAAUUACACUUUGACCUCCAAAAUGAUAAAAAUUUAAUUUAAUUCUUUAAAAUUUAUAAAGAUAUAGGCUAUUAAAAUGGUAAAAUGCACUUUGGCCUCCCAAAAUGAUAAAAAUUUGAUAUAAUCCUUUAAAAUUUAUAAAGAUAUUGUCUAUUAAAAUAGUAAAAUUGCAUUCUUACUAUCAUAGAAAUAUACAAUUUAAUUCUGGCCCCCCCCCCCAAAAAAAUUUAUGAGUUCGCCCUUAUCUCUAACUUCAUUAAAAAGUUAAUAUUUUAACUAACAUUUUCACUUAAAAAACACACAUUGACUCUUUUUUUAAAAUUAAUACCCAAAUAUAAAUAAAAGAAUAGGGAUCAAAUUAACAAAAGAUAUAAACAUUAAGGAUUAAAUUUGACAUUAUGCCUUUAUUUUUUAACUACAUGGACGGGUUCUCCAUCACCAUGGGAUCAUUUUUCAUUUAUUACAACCGUGCUCUAUGCGUAAACGUUCUUUGUUAAAACUCAUAAAGGAGUUUCUCAAAACAUGACAUGUGAGAAAUCCCCAAGCGAGUUGCCACUAACAAGCUCCCAUCAUUAAUGGGGUUUGGCAGUAGUAAAACCUUGCCUUCAUGAUUGACAUCUGCUGGCCCCGUAUGAAUGGGGCGAUCCCAUCCAAAAUCUACUUCAUAUAUAGGCAACCACAACCAAGAGUUUACAAGGAGGUUUGGGCAUCGGCAAGUGUGCGGCCCUCUAACCAAAGUGCUUAAAUCAGACACUGUUUCAAUGUAAUCAAGAGCUGACCUCAAAUAUUCAUCAUUAAUCUUCUUUAACCCUUCAUGGAUCCUCUUAAUAGUAUCAAGAAAGGAUUCAGUGUUGAGAUCACCAGCUUGAGUAACGAGUGCAUUUAUAAAGAUAGCAUUACCGAAGUAGCCUGGUGGGAGAGGAGGAUUCAAUUUAGAUCGAGCGUCAACUGGAAAGUGUUGUUCCAAUAGGGUCGGAAGCGUGUAAAUUAUUAUACUAAAAAAUCACACAAAGUUCAAUUCCCAGGGAAGAGAGGUGGAUCACAAGGAUCUCUUAAAUACCAAGUCUUUCCUUAGUCAGAAUAUUCCUUCUAACGUAAUUUAAUAGCACAAUUAAAUACUACUAUUAUACCCUCAAAUAUUGAAAGAAAAAUAGGACAAAAAGAACACAAGAGUUUUAACGAGGUUCGGUAAAUUAUACCUACGUCCUCGGGCUACUAAAACCAGAUGAUAACUUUACUAUCUCCAAAAUAUUACAAACAAAUAGAAUUCCUUAAGAAUUCUCAAAUGGGAGAAGAUAGAAAACUAAGAGAGAAAGAUUGGUUGGGAUGAAUUGAAAUGAGAAAUGAGAAGGCCUAUUUAUAGUUGAGGUUUAAGGACCAAACAAUAAAUAGCCCAUUAUCUCAAGGACCAAAAAAAAUUAUCCCAUGCCACUUUUUCAAAGUCAACUUUAGGGUGCUAAACUUGCACCACUUGGAUUGUUUUCCAUUAAAAUUGUCUGCCAUUAAUCAUAAUGUUAACAAUCUCCACCUUGAAGAUUUGAUUAGGAUAAUCACAUCUUCACACACUUCCUUCAACUCCCCAAAUUUGAUAAAGCUAUCUUUUGUAGUGCCUCCAAAUGCACUCUCGAGCGCCAUACACCUGAAGGUGCUCAAAUUCUCAGGAUGUUAAUCAAGUUCAAACAAUGAUUAAACUUGAUUGUUGUUACCACCUUGGUCAUCAUAUCUGCGGGAUUAUCUGCUGUUGGAAUCUUCUGAAGUAGAAUUUUUCCUUUUUCAAAGACUUCCCGCACAAAGUGAUAUCUUACGUCGAUAUACUUGGUUCUUGAAUGAUAGACUUGAUUUUUCGCUAAAUGAAUAGCGCUCUGACUGUCACAAUAUAAACUUAUGUGACUUUGAACAACUCUUAAGUCUUUCAACAAUCCAUUAAGCCAAAUAGCCUCCUUAACAACUUCUGUAACUGCCAUAUAUUCUGCCUCUGUAGUAGACACAGCUACUGUAGACUGUAAGGUAGACUUCCAACUCACUAGGGCUUUCGCAAGAGUAAACAGAUACCCCGUAGUUGAACGACGCUUAUCUAAAUCACCAGUAAAGUCGGAAUCAACAUAUCCAACUACAAACUGACCAAGUGCUUCGUCCUGUUCAAAAAUUAAACUAACAUCUACGGUUUUUCGAAGAUACCGUAGAAUCCAUUUCACAACUUGCCAAUGUCCUUUUCCAGGAUCAUGCAUAUACCUGCUCACAACUCCAACAACUUGUGAAAUGUCAGGCCGCGUACACACCAUCGCAUGCAUUAAACUCCCAACUGGAUUAGCAUAUGGGACUUUUGCCAUAUAUUCUCUUUCUUCUUCAAUUUUCGGAGAUAAUUGAGCACUAAGUUUCAAAUGAGAAGCAAGUGGGGUACUUACAUGUUUUGUGUUUUCAUUUACACCAAAACAUUGUAAUACCUUUUUCAGAUAUUGCUUCUGAUUCAAACAAAGCUUGCCUCUCUGUCUAUCUCUACUUAUCUCCAUGCCGAGAAUCUUCUUGGCCUCACCUAGAUCUUUCAUCUCGAACUCUUGAUUCAACUGAGCCUUCAGCUUAUCUAUCUCUUUUUGGCUCUUCGAAGCGAUUAACAUAUCAUCAACAUACAAGAGUAGAUAAAUGAAAGAUCCGUCAUGCAGCUUCUGCAAAUACACACAAUUGUCAUAUUUGCUUCUUGUGUACUUCUGCCUUCUCAUAAAGCUAUCAAAUCGCUUGUACCACUGCCUCGGGGAUUGCUUCAAUCCAUAUAGCGAUUUGUUCAGCUUACAAACCCAAUUUCUACCACCAGUAUCUGUGUAUCCUUCGGGCUGAGUCAUAUUGAUCUCCUCUUCUAACUCACCAUGCAAGAAAGCCGUCUUAACAUCAAGUUGAGCUAGCUCCAAAUUCAACUGUGCUACCAAGGCCAACAAAAUUCUAAUGGAGGAAUGCUUCACAACAGGGGAAAAUACAUCAUUGUAGUCAAUUCCCUCCUUCUGAGCGUAGCCUUUAGCUACCAAUCUUGCCUUGUAGCGAAUAUCUUUCUUGCUAGGAGAUCCAUCUUUCUUUGCGAAUACCCACUUGCAUCCGAUUGCCCUUUUACCUUUCGGUAAUUGCGCCAACUCCCAAGUAUUGUUCUUCCGGAGAGACUGCAUUUCUUCAUCCAUGGCGCUUUUCCAUUUAUCACUUUCUAAGCUUUGCAUUGCUUCUUGAUAAGUGAUAGGAAUAUCAUCAACAACGGGAAGGGCGUAGGCCACCAUAUCAGUAAAUCGAGCAGGUUUACGAAUUUCUCUCCGUGGCCUUGCAACUGCAACUGGUUCUGGUGUACUUAGUGGUUCUUGGGUCAGAACCUCUUCAACCUCUAAUUCCUCCAUUGUGGCUGGAGAAUUAGACUUAUUAACUGGGCAAAUCCCCAUCUGCUCAAACUCCACCUGUUUUGCAGUACACUCCACCUGCUGUGGAGUAUUGCUCGUCUGAAUAUCUUUAUCUGCUACCUUUUUCAAUGUGGCAGAUUCAUCAAAGGUAACAUCUUUGCUACAGAUCAUUUUCUUUGUGCUUAAGCACCAAAGACGAAAUCCCUUCACUCCAGAAGUGAUUCCCAUAAAGAGAGCUUUCUUUGCCCUCGGAUCUAACUUUGACUCCUUCACAUGGUAAUAUGCAGUGGUUCCAAACACAUGUAAGGAAUCAUAAUCUGUAGCCGGUUUUCCAGACCAUACCUCCAUAGGAGUUUUUCUUUCUAAUGCAGAUGAUGGCAAACGAUUAACAAGAUGGCCAGCGUAUGUCACAGCCUCAGCCCAAAAUUGCUUGCCCAACCCAGCAUUGGACAACAUACAUCGAACUUUCUCCAGCAAUGUUCGAUUCAUACGCUCUGCCAAUCCAUUCUGCUGUGGUGUAUCCCUAACUGUGAAGUGUCGAACAAUACCAUACUCUUGGCACACAUCGAAGAACGGAUCACUUUUAUAUUCCCCUCCAUUGUCCGUCCUAAGCCGCUUAAUUUUCUUGCCAGUCUGCUUUUCGAUCAUAGUUUUCCAUUUAAGAAAAACUCUAAGCAUUUCAUCCUUAGUUCUCAUGGUAUACACCCAAACUCUUCUGGAAAAGUCAUCAACAAAAGUAUCAAAGUAGUGUUUUCCUCCCAAUGAAGGUGUCUUGGAAGGCCCCCACACAUCUGAGUGAACAUAUUCCAAAAUACCUUUUGUAUUAUGGAUAGCAGUACCGAAUUUCACUCUCUUUUGCUUUCCCAGAACACAAUGCUCGCAAAAUUUUAAUUUGCAAGCCUUUGCACCUUUCAACAAUCCUUGCUUUGCUAGAAUUUGCAAGGAUUUUUCGCUGGCAUGUCCCAACUUCAUAUGCCACAACUGUAUUGAGUCCAAUUCUUUGUUGCCGGAAGCUACAGCGACUGCUCCAAUAACUGUACUACCUUGGUAGUAAUACAAGUUAUUUUUCCUGAUGCCCUUCAAUAUCACAAGUGCGCCAGAUGUCACUUUCAAAACCCCAUCUCUCAUAGUAACAACUGAACCAUUGGAUUCCAAGGCUCCCAAUGAGAUGUGAUUUUUCUUCAAACUGGGUACGUACCGAACAUCAGUCAGAACUCUAGUUGAUCCAUCUUUAUUCUUUAAUUGGAUGGAACCUAUCCCAACAGUUUUACAGGCAUUGUCAUUGCCCAUAUAAACAACUCCUCCAUUUAGUUCUACUAAAUCAGAGAACCACUCCCGGUUAGGGGACAUAUGAUAGGUACAACCCGAAUCCAAUAUCCACUCAUCUGAAUGGAACGACGAUGAUGAUGCAACCAGUGAUAGUUCAGAGUCACUAGUAUCAUGCUUAGCAACACAAGCAUCUACAGCAGCUUUUCCCUUAUUCUUCAGCUUUGGACAAUUUUUCUUCCAGUGGCCUUUCUCAUGACAAAAAGUACAUUCAUCUUUCCCGAGUCUGGACUUUGACUUUGAUCUCCUCUUUUGAGUUUUCUUCCGAGUGUAUGAACGACCUCGGACUACUAAAGCUUCUGUAUCUCUGAUUGAGUUUUUCUGUUUGUCCUUCUUUCUCUGUUCAUAACUGUAUAAGGCCGCACAGACUUCGCUUAGAGAUAUAUCACUCCUGCCAUGAAGUAGAGUAGUUUCUAGGAACUCAAACUCCUCAGAAAGUAACCCCAACAGCAUCAAAGCCAAAUCUUCAUAUUUGAAUGUCUCAUCCAUAUUCAGCAAAUCAGUGACUAACUGAUUAAAUUUGGUGAUGUGAUCAUUCAUUGUGGUACUUGGGACGUAUGUGAAGCGAAACAGUCUUUUCUUCAAGUGGAGCUUAUUUUGACUGUUUUUCUUCAAAAGUUUUUCUUCAAGUGCCACCCACAACUUAUUUGCAGAAGUCUCCUUUGAAAAAGCAUACCUCUGCUCUCGAGAAAGGCAUGAUCGAAUUGUGCCACAUGCCAACCGAUUGAUCGCCUUCCAAUCUUUCUCCUGUACAUCAUCUGGUUUCUCUUCAUCAAUGGCAAUGUCUAGACCCUGCUGAAAAAGGGCAUCUAGAACCUCACUUUGCCACAUACCAAAAUGGCCCGUGCCAUCAAAGAUCUCCACGGCCAAUCUUGCAUUUGCAAUUUCCGGUCUUGUCCACAUGGACGAUGUUGAAGCUCCUACACCGACCGUUUUCUCCAUAAUCUUUCAAUAUACCUAAGGAAAUCUUUUCUGAUGUGGAAGAUCAGUUUAAACUGCAACCACAGAGCAUACUACGAUUAACCUUCGGCUCUUGAUACCACUUGUUGUUCCAAUAGGGUCGGAAGCGUGUAAAUUAUUGUACUAAAAAAUCACACAAAGUUCAAUUCCCAGGGAAGAGAGGUGGAUCACAAGGAUCUCUUAAAUACCAAGUCUUUCCUUAGUCAGAAUAUUCCUUCUAACGUAAUUUAAUAGCACAAUUAAAUACUACUAUUAUACCCUCAAAUAUUGAAAGAAAAAUAGGACAAAAAGAACACAAGAGUUUUAACGAGGUUCGGUAAAUUAUACCUACGUCCUCGGGCUACUAAAACCAGAUGAUAACUUUACUAUCUCCAAAAUAUUACAAACAAAUAGAAUUCCUUAAGAAUUCUCAAAUGGGAGAAGAGAGAAAACUAAGAGAGAAAGAUUGGUUGGGAUGAAUUGAAAUGAGAAAUGAGAAGGCCUAUUUAUAGUUGAGGUUUAAGGACCAAACAAUAAAUAGCCCAUUAUCUCAAGGACCAAAAAAAAUUAUCCCAUGCCACUUUUUCAAAGUCAACUUUAGGGUGCUAAACUUGCACCACUUGGAUUGUUUUCCAUUAAAAUUGUCUGCCAUUAAUCAUAAUGUUAACAGAAAGUACAUCUUGGUAGGUUGGUCAUCUGAGAGACCCCUUGCUUUACUUACGCAGCGCCAUAUAUGUGCAGCCAAGAUGUUGUAACUACUAUACUUUGUACCACUACUGUUUGCAGCAGCUUUGGCUUUCAGGGCAUUCAAUUGAUCAACUGUAAG